RNAcentral lists this unclassified non-coding RNA (2333 nucleotides) under Hevea brasiliensis (rubber tree). The record is from RNAcentral. Lineage: Eukaryota; Viridiplantae; Streptophyta; Magnoliopsida; Malpighiales; Euphorbiaceae.
CUCAUUCUCUGCAACCAUAUCACCGAAAUCCUUUUUCCUUGGGAUUUUUCACCGUCCACAAUUAAUUUUAUUUUUAUUAUUAUUGAUUAUUGUAUCCUAUGCAUUAGGCCACAGUGUAUGUUGCAACUCAGUGCUCAGUGCUUAAUCCAUCAGAUUGAGAAGCAUCUCCCAAAACCCCAAAUUGUUAGAAUCAAAUUUCUUUAACGCUGUUAAGCACAAAGCAGGAACGAUGCUGUUGAAUCUUCUUUUCACUUGCGUAUGAGCGCUGAUCCUUUCUUCUUCCAUCAGUCUUUAUUAUUUGCAUUUGCAUGCAGCUAUUGCUAUUCAAUAUCUCUCAUCUCUUUCCAUUUAUCAUCUUUUGGGUCUGCAUACCAUGAUGAGCUCUUCCGGGUCUGAAUCCUGCUGUGCAGAUGUCAAAAUUUUUGCUGUUAUUCUUGAUUUGGAUGGGACCCUUCUGGACACAGAGAGUGCUACAAAGGGUGUUCUCAAAGAAUUUUUGGCCAAGUAUGGGAAAGAAUUGGACAGGGAAAGGGAAGAUAAGAAGAGGUUGGGGAUGACUUUGCAAGUGUCAGCAGCUGCCAUUGUUAAAGACUAUGACCUCCCAUUGACACCCAAUCAGUUUAUCGAUGAAAUCAUGCCUAUGUAUCGUGACAAGUGGCUGCAUGCCAGACCCCUGCCUGGUGCUAAUCGUCUUAUCAAACAUCUACAUAAAAAUGGAGUGCCUUUUGCUCUUGCUUCGAACUCCUUAAGAGAAUACAUAGAUGCAAAAAUCUCUCACCAAGAAGGUUGGAAUGAGUGCUUUUCAACAAUUCUUGGAAGUGACCAGGUCAAAUCAGGGAAGCCCUCCCCAGAUUUAUUCAUAGAGGCUGCAAGAAGAAUGGGUGUAGAUGCUGCAAAAUGCCUGGUGAUUGAAGACUCUUUGUAAGUUCUUCCAGACAAUGCUCAUAUUAAGUAAAGUAACAAUAAAAAAAUAAUAAAUAAUAAAAAAAAACACAGCCUAACACUUCAUCAUGAGUUAAAUUAGUGAGCAUUGUUAAUAAUUUAAUGGUUGAGGACUUGUGUAAUAUCUUAGAUACAUCAGUUUUGGCUUAUUCAAUUAUGAAUUUUAAGCAUGUUAAUUGUUAUUAUUGCCAGGUGUUUCUUAAGAACCUGAGUUAAAUGUUCAAUGAUGUAGUAUAUCAGAUUGGCAUUCUUGUCUCAUGGUUUCAAGUCAAUUUGUAGGCAGCAUAUUAGAUUAAAAAAAGAGUGAAUUUUAUUGGUGAUUUUUGCUUUUACGUAAAUUUUCGGUAUCUUGACUUGUUAUACUAUUCACAGAAUUAGAUUUUGCAGGUGUGCUUCCUAAAAUUGUAUGAGAAUGUUUUGCAAAUACAUUGUUAUUUUACUUGUUAGGUGGUAUCUAUAACAACCCACCACAUUGGUAUUGUAUUGGAAAAUCCUUGAUAUAUUUGUUAGGGCCCAUGGAUUCAAAAGCAACUAUGCUCAUUAUUUUACUUACAAGGUGAUCCUGUACUGGCAUCAGAGGUGAUUCUGGUUAAUAUUAUGUGUGGUAGGUGGUUGUUCAAGUGAUCCUAUCUUUGGCUUGUAAGGGUAAAAAAUUGUUGCUUUGUAAUUUUGUGUGCUCAUAGCAAGGAUGCUAAGGCCUAGACAGAGAGUUUGUUAUUGCCCACAUUCCACAUCAAUAGGGCCUCUUACUGAAUUAGUUGGACAUGUUUUCUAAUAAUGGCUUGCAUAAGUUAACUGUUAUUUAAUAGAUUUUGGAAACUCCGUUACCAUUAUGCCUAUAUAUAAUGGGCAAAAAUCCAGAAAAAGGACUGUUAUAUCAUGUUAAUGGUCAAUGCUAAAUUAAAAAGGGCUCUUUUUGGCGGUCUUUUCCAGCUUUUUUCCCCAGAAUCCCCACUUCUCCAGACACAUUUCUUAUGUCUUUCUAAGCCUUGUUCAACCAAAAUCCCUCAAAAGUUAGAACUCUUGUUACAUGAAUUUUAGCUGGAUUUCACUUUGUAACCAGGCAAAAUUUAAAGGGAGUAUAUUUAGGCUUUUUUGCACUUCCCUUUGAAGAGGUGAGUCAAUUUUGACUUUGUUGUUGCUUUUGCAAGUUUGUUGUAGAAACCUUUGGUUUGUGCGAUAAUUAUGACUCUUUUUGGCAGUGAUAAGAUUAGAUCUUUAAUUUCCAUUAUGUUUUGAGAUAAUUGCUGAAAUUGAUUGAUAAUAAUAAUACAAAUUAUGGAUUCAAUGUCUUAAUUUUAUGUAUCUACGCUCAUUAGUUAAUUGUUUUUCUUCAUUUAUUUUUCCUUGAAUAUCUAUUUGUUUAAUGCAUUUUGCAAUUUUUACAAAAA